CGAUGGACGAUUCAGGAGAGGGAGCCUGAUAACGGCUACACAUCCAACGAAGGCAGCAGGCGCGCAUAUUACCCAAUCCCGAUACGGGGAGGUAGUGACAAUAAAUAACAAUACAGGGCUCUUAUGGGUCUUGUAAUUGGAAUGAGUACAAUUUAAAUCUCUUAACGAGGAACAAUUGGAGGGCCAGUCUGGUGCCCGCUUCCACGGUAAUUCCGGCUCCAAUAGCGUAUAUUAAACUUGUUGCAGUUAAAAAGCUCGUAGUUGAAUUUCUGAAUUUUUUUAUCGGUUGAAUCCACAGGUUCUUACUGAUUUUAAUAAUUUCUACCUUCUGGAGAACCUUAAUGUCUUUUUUUUGAAGUUUUGGGAAACCAGGACUGUUACCUUGAAAAAAUUCAAGUGUGUAACGCUGGCUUAUGUCUGAAUAUUUUAGCAUGGAAUAAUGAAAUAAGACGGCCUGGUUCUAUUUUGUUGGUUUCUAGGAUCACCGUUUUGAUUAAUACGGAUAGUUGGGGGCAUUAGUAUUCAAUUGUCUGAGGUGAAAUUCUUGGAUUUAUUGAAGACUAACUUCUGCGAAAGCUUUUGCCCAGGAUGCUUUCAUUAAUCUAGAACGAAAUUUUGGGGAUCGAAGACAAUCAAAUUCCGGCGUACUCUUAACCAUAAACUAUGCCGACUACGAAUCCGACAAAUUUGACUUUUUAAUGACUCACUCGGCGCCUUACUGGAAACUCAGUGU
Molecule: ribosomal RNA, 733 nt
Filed under: Pacispora franciscana
Lineage: Eukaryota; Fungi; Glomeromycota; Glomeromycetes; Diversisporales; Pacisporaceae
Description: bacterial SSU rRNA
Rfam family: Eukaryotic small subunit ribosomal RNA
Source: RNAcentral